Molecule: long non-coding RNA, 502 nt
Organism: Engraulis encrasicolus (European anchovy)
Lineage: Eukaryota; Metazoa; Chordata; Actinopteri; Clupeiformes; Engraulidae
Exons: 4
Source: RefSeq, a predicted model, not a curated record
UGUUGUCGUGGUACGCAAUGACCUGGUUCCAGAACGUGCUUACGUUGACAGGUGUCCCACUGCCUCCUCUCUGGGUACACUGUGACAGGAGUGACCCCCCUGGGUACUGUAUGGCUUGGUGCAGAGCCCAUCUCCACUGUCAACAAAGUCACUGCUAUCAAGCUUUACACUAUUCACAGCAAAGUGAAGGUGAUGACAGGAAGCGAGUGGGGAGAGAGACUGGGAAGGGGCGGCAAAGGACCCUGGCCGGGAAUCGAAACCCGGGUCAUCCGCAUGGUGGAGACCAAGCGCUAUGCGCAGUAACCUGUUUGGCUCCAUGCAGGUGGAGAACACCAUCGAGUCGCAGCGCAGCAUUGCCGAUGUCUUCAGGCGGAGCAACAUGGAGAAGAUCCUGCAGAUGCCACCACAGUCCUCUGAAGCUGCACUGCAAAAGAAGAUUGAAGAAGAUGCUCAUCCUGAGUUCAGAAGGUUAAAAAAAACUGCCACAAAAUGUAUCCAAUCA